Molecule: ribosomal RNA, 486 nt
Filed under: uncultured bacterium
Lineage: Bacteria
Description: bacterial SSU rRNA
Rfam family: Bacterial small subunit ribosomal RNA
Source: RNAcentral
GACGACGCUGGCGGCGUGGAUUAGGCAUGCAAGUCGAACGGUAUCAUCCUUUCGGGGGUGAGAGAGUGGCGAACUGGUGAGUAACACGUAGGUUAUCUACCCUCAAGACGGGGACAACCCGGGGAAACUUGGGCUAAUACCGGAUGUGAGCAACUUUUAGUUGUUUGAAAGGUGGCGUAAGCUGUCGCUUGGGGAUGAGCCUGCGUCCUAUUAGUUAGUUGGUGAGGUAACGGCUCACCUAGGCAAUGAUAGGUAGGCGGCCUUAACGGGUGGUCGCCCACACUGGGAUUGAGAUACGGCCCAGACUCCUACGGGAGGCAGCAGUCGAGAAUAGUCUACAAUGGUCGGAAGACUGAUAGUGCGACGCCGCGUGAACGAUGAAUCCCUUCGGGGUGUAAAGUUCUUUUAUAUGUGAGCAGUGCUUCUUAUAUUAACAGUAUGGGGAGAGAGAUAUUAGCAUAUGAAUAAGCAACGGCUAACUCCGUG